This 58-nucleotide non-coding RNA is filed under the name Lankesteria abbotti. The record is from RNAcentral. Lineage: Eukaryota; Apicomplexa; Conoidasida; Eugregarinorida; Lecudinidae.
GACCUCUGUUGUGGAGCCUACAGGAUGCUGUGGAUCUGCCCAGAAAAAACAACCCACA